UGGGGAAUAUUGGACAAUGGGCGCAAGCCUGAUCCAGCAAUGCCGCGUGGAUGAAGAAGGUCUUCGGAUUGUAAAGUCCUUUCGGCGGGGACGAUGAUGACGGUACCCGCAGAAGAAGCCCCGGCUAACUUCGUGCCAGCAGCCGCGGUAAUACGAAGGGGGCUAGCGUUGCUCGGAAUUACUGGGCGUAAAGGGCGCGUAGGCGGACCAUUCAGUCAGGCGUGAAAGCCCCGGGCUCAACCUGGGAAUUGCGCUUGAGACGUGUGGUCUUGAGGACGGGAGAGGGUGGUGGAAUUCCCAGUGUAGAGGUGAAAUUCGUAGAUAUUGGGAAGAACACCGGUGGCGAAGGCGGCCACCUGGCCCGGUCCUGACGCUGAGGCGCGAAAGCGUGGGGAGCAAACAGG
Molecule: ribosomal RNA, 404 nt
Filed under: uncultured Rhodospirillales bacterium
Lineage: Bacteria; Pseudomonadati; Pseudomonadota; Alphaproteobacteria; Rhodospirillales
Description: bacterial SSU rRNA
Rfam family: Bacterial small subunit ribosomal RNA
Source: RNAcentral